CGCGUAGGCGGGUUUGUAAGUCAGAGGUGAAAUCCUGCAGCUUAACUGCAGAACUGCCUUUGAAACUACAAAUCUUGAGUUUGGAAGAGAGAGACGGAAUUCCAGGUGUAGUGGUGAAAUACGUAGAUAUCUGGAAGAACACCAGUGGCGAAGGCGGUCUCUUGGUCCAUAACUGACGCUGAGGCGCGAAAGCGUGGGGAGCAAACAGGAUUAGAUACCCUGGUAGUCC
RNAcentral lists this ribosomal RNA (229 nucleotides) under uncultured bacterium. Its description in RNAcentral is "partial 16S ribosomal RNA". It matches the Rfam family "Bacterial small subunit ribosomal RNA", at positions 568 to 796 of the family's 1533-position model. The record is from RNAcentral.